This is a long non-coding RNA of Octopus sinensis (East Asian common octopus), 173 nucleotides long. RefSeq lists it as uncharacterized. The record is from RefSeq and is a predicted model, not a curated record. NCBI's taxonomy places the organism in Eukaryota, Metazoa, Mollusca, Cephalopoda, Octopoda, Octopodidae. The transcript is spliced from 3 exons.
UCGGGGACAACAAACAGAGAGAAAGAUGGGACGAAAGAGUGCAACAGGAGUCACCACCACACCGUGCCGUUGCCUUGUGGAGUUUUAGGUGUUUUCACUCAAUAAACAUACACAACGCCCGGUCUGGGGAAUCGAAUCCGUGAUCCUUCGAUCACGAGUCCGCUGCCCUUACC